Molecule: ribosomal RNA, 550 nt
Filed under: uncultured bacterium
Lineage: Bacteria
Description: partial 16S ribosomal RNA
Rfam family: Bacterial small subunit ribosomal RNA
Source: RNAcentral
UAAGGAAUAUUGGACAAUGGACGCAAGUCUGAUCCAGCCAUGCCGCGUGUGUGAAGAAGGCCUUCGGGUUGUAAAGCACUUUUGUCCGGAAAGAAAUCCUUGGCUCUAAUACAGUCGGGGGAUGACGGUACCGGAAGAAUAAGCACCGGCUAACUACGUGCCAGCAGCCGCGGUAAUACGUAGGGUGCAAGCGUUAAUCGGAAUUACUGGGCGUAAAGCGUGCGCAGGCGGUUUGCUAAGACCGAUGUGAAAUCCCCGGGCUCAACCUGGGAACUGCAUUGGUGACUGGCAGGCUAGAGUAUGGCAGAGGGGGGUAGAAUUCCACGUGUAGCAGUGAAAUGCGUAGAGAUGUGGAGGAAUACCGAUGGCGAAGGCAGCCCCCUGGGCCAAUACUGACGCUCAUGCACGAAAGCGUGGGGGAGCAAACAGGAUUAGAUACCCUCGGUAGUCCACGCCCUAAACGAUGUCAACUAGUUGUUGGGGACUUCAUUUCCUUAGUAACGUAGCUAACGCGUGAAGUUGACCGCCUGGGGAGUACGGUCGCAAGAUU